CGAACGGGUGAGUAACACGUGGGUAACCUGCCCAUCAGAAGGGGAUAACACUUGGAAACAGGUGCUAAUACCGUAUAACAAUCGAAACCGCAUGGUUUCGGUUUGAAAGGCGCUUUUGCGUCACUGAUGGAUGGACCCGCGGUGCAUUAGCUAGUUGGUGAGGUAACGGCUCACCAAGGCAACGAUGCAUAACCGACCUGAGAGGGUGAUCGGCCACAUUGGGACUGAGACACGGCCCAA
Molecule: ribosomal RNA, 240 nt
Filed under: uncultured bacterium
Lineage: Bacteria
Description: partial 16S ribosomal RNA
Rfam family: Bacterial small subunit ribosomal RNA
Source: RNAcentral